This 285-nucleotide ribosomal RNA is filed under the name Colwellia sp. SL15. Its description in RNAcentral is "partial 16S ribosomal RNA". Lineage: Bacteria; Pseudomonadati; Pseudomonadota; Gammaproteobacteria; Alteromonadales; Colwelliaceae. The record is from RNAcentral.
UAACGUCACAGCUAGCAGUUAUUAACUACUAACCUUUCCUCCUCGCUGAAAGUGCUUUACAACCCGAAGGCCUUCUUCACACACGCGGCAUGGCUGCAUCAGGCUUUCGCCCAUUGUGCAAUAUUCCCCACUGCUGCCUCCCGUAGGAGUCUGGGCCGUGUCUCAGUCCCAGUGUGGCUGAUCAUCCUCUCAAACCAGCUAGAGAUCGUCGCCUUGGUAAGCCAUUACCUUACCAACUAGCUAAUCUCACUUGGGCUAAUCAAUGAGCGAGAGGUGCCGAAGCGU